Long non-coding RNA from Megachile rotundata (alfalfa leafcutting bee), 595 nucleotides. The record is from RefSeq and is a predicted model, not a curated record. Lineage: Eukaryota; Metazoa; Arthropoda; Insecta; Hymenoptera; Megachilidae.
CCUCUGGUCGAGAACGACCGAAAUAGUCUAUUGUUCUCUAAUUGGUGAUUGUUCGUGUGGAGGAGAUUCAAGACCGUUCGUUUGUGAAAAUGUAGUGUCGGAAACUCGUUAAGGUGCGAUUAAUUAUCUACACGUUUGAAAACUUGUUUCACGCGAUCGCGUGUUCAAGAAUGUUUGUCGAAAACAUAAAACACUCGCAUCACUUUUUAUCGAAUUUUUCAAGAAGAGAGUAACUUUCACGGACACAGAAGACAAAGGUGCAAUCACAUCAAGGGAGUUCCGUUCCAUUGUAUACAAGCAUCUUGCCACCUGUAAAAUAAUUGCGAAGAGAUAUUUAUUUUUAAUUACUUGACGUGAAGAAUCAGAAGAAAUUACCAUGCACGUCUCCUCAUCAAUCGGUUUACCACCGAUGACCACCGUCUUGGCCAAAGUCCUGGUAUUCCUCGGAUAUAUAAUCUUCUCUGAAACAGGGAAACAGGAAUAUCAUCUAUCCUCGAUAAUGUACUCUUCCUGUUCUCCACCUGGAUAGAGUUGAUCAGGCUCUCCCAUAAGAGCUGCACACCUAGCGGCUCUAGCAGACAGCAGCAUCACGAAU